Bactrocera dorsalis (oriental fruit fly) is the source of this 441-nucleotide long non-coding RNA. RefSeq lists it as uncharacterized. Lineage: Eukaryota; Metazoa; Arthropoda; Insecta; Diptera; Tephritidae. The transcript is spliced from 3 exons. The record is from RefSeq and is a predicted model, not a curated record.
UUUAAAUUAAGUUCAGUUAAAUCGUAAUAAUUGUCUUUGAAUCGCGACGUUUUAUUUUAAAAUUCGGUCGCGCCAAUGCAAAUUCUUCUGCAAAAUAGUGUCCGAAAUUAAUAUUGUGAUUUUACAUCAGCAACUUAAUCAUAUAACAGCUGACAAUUCUCUCAACUGCUCAACAUCAUAUUGGAUAAGUCACAUUGACUCCUGAUAUUUUUAUUGAUGCAAUGUACGAAGAAUAAGAAUUUUGGAAGCAAUUCUUCUUGCUCACCACAGAAAUGACAGCCAAUUUUGUCAAUGGCCUUGUUGGUGCUCUAUUGUCUUGCUGUUGAUGGCUUUUAGUUUCGACCUUUGUGUCAGCAGCUGUUGCUUUAUUGACUGAUUUUUUGGGCUUAAUGUUUUGUACUGCUGCGUUUGUGCUCGAUAAAAGUGAUGAUAAAAUGGCGG